This 27-nucleotide non-coding RNA is filed under the name Bombyx mori (domestic silkworm). The record is from RNAcentral. Lineage: Eukaryota; Metazoa; Arthropoda; Insecta; Lepidoptera; Bombycidae.
UCUCGAUUCGCUGGCGGAGGUAGGUGG